UGUAUCUGCUUAUUCUACAAUAAGUGUUGAAGAUGUUGCUUUAUUUCUGGGAAUGAGUGAGGAUGCUGCUACAAGUUGUAAGUAGUUUUAUGUUCAUUUUUAAAUCAAACAAUGCUUGUCUAUUUGUUUUAGCACCUCUUGCAUCAUAAACAAUGUUUACGUGAUAAUUUUUUUUUACAUUAAAUAACAUCCACAAGCAAUCAAUGCAUUUAUUAUAACUUGAUUGGGGUCAACGUUAUUUCUGCAUGACUAGAUGAAGUUCAUUAAUGCCCGGCCUCUAUCCUUUCUCGACGACCCUUGGAACUGAAAAUAGUCCUUUGAAUCUUGCACUUGGAUACACAAUGUGUUCAGUGAAGACACUCAGAUACACAAUGUGUUCAGUGAAAGUGGAUUCCAAUUCUCCUUGUUAUAUUCCAUGCCACUACUGUCAAUAUAUCUACUAACUAAUUAGAUUUUUAGCUAGACUGCAGAGUAGCUAAUCAAAAUUUUAUGCUAAAAUGUGAUGAGCAAUAAGAGAAUCUUCUAAGGUUCCUCAUGUGCCACAUGAUGUAAUUAAUGAAAGUCAUCUAGAUAUAGCUGACAGUCCUGUUAGUGACAUAUAUGUUGGAUCUUUAUCAGCGUAGCUUCUGCACUCAAUCUUUAACCUCUUAAAUGGUUUAAUCUUAUAUUUGUGUCUCACUUUAUUGGGUUUGGAUUUAAGGUGUNUAGUUCUAGAUCUGGUCCAAGACGAACUGUUGUAGGAGAUUUAUUGAAAAAUUGAAUUCAACAAUUAGAGCACAAUUCAUAAUAUAUCAUUUUCACAUACUAUGAACAUGCAAUUUCAUCAACAACAAUUCAAUUAUCACCAAUUUCAUGUACUCAAACAUAUCAUCACAACAAGAGCACGAAUUUCAAUAACUAAGAACAAAAUAAUCACUUAUUCAAUUAAGCACUUAAGCAUACAAUUAAGGAAAAAUUACAACUAAUUGAUUAUGAUUGAAAUCUAACCCCCUUACCUCAAUUAGCAAUAAUCCUAGCAAAAGCUUCAAUUGAGCUCCUAUAAUCUCUAUCACUUCUUAAGUCUUCAAGCUUCUCUCCCUUCUAACCCUUUUAUCUUCUCUUGAACUUUCUCUCUCUACCUCUCUCAAAUUUCUUAUGAAAUGAAAUGAAUGAAACCUAUUUUCUCUAAAGACAAGGGUUUAUAUAGGCUCCUCUCAAAUGGGCUUAACCCUAAUACCUUAGUGGGCUUAACUCACUACUCAAUCAUAAAUUCUAAAAUAUUUCUACUCACUUAACGGUAAAAUAAUAACAGCGAUUACUUACCGACUCACAACUAAUUACCACACUAGUAACUUAGUAAAAUAAUGGUUCUCACUUGAAAAACUAAAAAUAAUCCUCACUAUGAAUUUACAAAAUUACCAUUCCAACACGUAAACCCAUAAAAAUGCACCCAAUAGAUAAUCACAAACAAGCACAUAUAAACACAUAUUAAAACAAUUAAAAUAAUUCUAGCGACAAUCGUGCUGUUACACAAUGAGUUUUAGUGAUAUUAGUUGUAUUCUUUCACAUUAACGUGUGCUCCUUCAUCACUCACCUCAGUCUAACGAGUUUCUCUAAUAUAGUUUGGUGUGCACUACAUCAAGACGACAAUGACUCAUUCUCCACACAAACACUCAUGUAUAUUUUUCUAGGAUUUCAUUUAUUAUUGUUAUUUGCACACAUUUACAAUUCGAGAUAAGAAAUGUAACACUCCGUUUUCUCAACAUAAAAAUUUCAUAACAAUUAAUCAGAGUUUUCCACAUAAACGGAAUGCUACACUUAUUAAAAAUCAUAAAUGGAAUAAAUAACAAUUUAUCCUUCAUAAUUCAAUUCAACAUAAAUAUUCAGAACUUCGCAGCGGAUUUAAUUCAACAACUAAAAUAGUCUUUGGCACGAAGGCCUCAUCAUAACAUCUCAUAAAAAUCCAAACUAAAUCAUAGUCAUGUAAAAUCAUAAGCAAUACGUAAGAAAUAGAAAAUAGCCACAAAAGUUCCCAUCUCGUUACGUAUCAGAGAACCUAAAGACACAGUGAGAUAUAGCCACUCACGACAACAAUCAACAACUACUUAUUCUCGAUCACCUGCAAGUUACUCAUACGAAGAGAAACAUUUCCAAGCAGAAGGGGUGAGAUUUCACAAUCAAUAAUAUUAAGCAUAUAAUUCAACAAUUAAAUUUAACAACAUAAACAUUAUUAAUUAAUAAUAAUAAUUCUUCAUAUAGUGCUCCAUUAAUAGUUCAAUCCACUUCUAAUCAUCAUUAACUUAUAACAAAUAUAAACAACAACAUAAUCUCAUCUUAUAAUAACAUAAGCAACAACAUAUUCAUCAUCUUAUAAUAAUAAUAUAAACACAACAUAAUCAUUAAUAUUCCAUGGUUUGUCAUCAACAACAACUUCAACGAUUCAACGACGACAACGUCAACCUGACAAUACAGCUACGUGAGAGUACACCACCUCUUAUAAUACGACAACGUAAGAGUACACCACCUCUUAUAAAACCACAACGUAAGAGUACACCACCUCUUAUAGAACAACAACAUAAGAGUACACCACCUCUUAUAAACAACAACGUAAGAGUACACAACCUCUCAUAAACAACAACGUAAGAGUACACCACCUCUCACAAAACACCUGAACAUAAACAGUNNNNNNNNNNNNNNNNNNNNNNNNNNNNNNNNNNNNNNNNNNNNNNNNNNNNNNNNNNNNNNNNNNNNNNNNNNNNNNNNNNNNNNNNNNNNNNNNNNNNNNNNNNNNNNNNNNNNNNNNNNNNNNNNNNNNNNNNNNNNNNNNNNNNNNNNNNNNNNNNNNNNNNNNNNNNNNNNNNNNNNNNNNNNNNNNNNNNNNNNNNNNNNNNNNNNNNNNNNNNNNNNNNNNNNNNNNNNNNNNNNNNNNNNNNNNNNNNNNNNNNNNNNNNNNNNNNNNNNNNNNNNNNNNNNNNNNNNNNNNNNNNNNNNNNNNNNNNNNNNNNNNNNNNNNNNNNNNNNNNNNNNNNNNNNNNNNNNNNNNNNNNNNNNNNNNNNNNNNNNNNNNNNNNNNNNNNNNNNNNNNNNNNNNNNNNNNNNNNNNNNNNNNNNNNNNNNNNNNNNNNNNNNNNNNNNNNNNNNNNNNNNNNNNNNNNNNNNNNNNNNNNNNNNNNNNNNNNNNNNNNNNNNNNNNNNNNNNNNNNNNNNNNNNNNNNNNNNNNNNNNNNNNNNNNNNNNNNNNNNNNNNNNNNNNNNNNNNNNNNNNNNNNNNNNNNNNNNNNNNNNNNNNNNNNNNNNNNNNNNNNNNNNNNNNNNNNNNNNNNNNNNNNNNNNNNNNNNNNNNNNNNNNNNNNNNNNNNNNNNNNNNNNNNNNNNNNNNNNNNNNNNNNNNNNNNNNNNNNNNNNNNNNNNNNNNNNNNNNNNNNNNNNNNNNNNNNNNNNNNNNNNNNNNNNNNNNNNNNNNNNNNNNNNNNNNNNNNNNNNNNNNNNNNNNNNNNNNNNNNNNNNNNNNNNNNNNNNNNNNNNNNNNNNNNNNNNNNNNNNNNNNNNNNNNNNNNNNNNNNNNNNNNNNNNNNNNNNNNNNNNNNNNNNNNNNNNNNNNNNNNNNNNNNNNNNNNNNNNNNNNNNNNNNNNNNNNNNNNNNNNNNNNNNNNNNNNNNNNNNNNNNNNNNNNNNNNNNNNNNNNNNNNNNNNNNNNNNNNNNNNNNNNNNNNNNNNNNNNNNNNNNNNNNNNNNNNNNNNNNNNNNNNNNNNNNNNNNNNNNNNNNNNNNNNNNNNNNNNNNNNNNNNNNNNNNNNNNNNNNNNNNNNNNNNNNNNNNNNNNNNNNNNNNNNNNNNNNNNNNNNNNNNNNNNUUGGAGUAUUUUCAUCAUAUCUCAAAAACCAAAAAUCAUUUUCAAGUCAAACCAAUGCCAUUGGAAAGCUAACAAAAUUAUCUACAACUUUCAUGAAGACUCCCAAACCUAAUUCAGAACAGAAAAUUCCAGAAAAGUUGAUUUUCCUAUGCUCGUGAAAAGAGGACGACUGUGUUGAUCCCUGCUGACCCCUGUGUAGUAAUUUGAUCAUAUUUUGAGUUCUAUGUGCUUAAAUCGAGUGCCUCCAAAGCCGAGUGACAGAUAACAUCCAUAUCUACAACUUUCGUGAAGGCACCUAAACCCAGUUCGAAACUUAAACUUGUCAAACUGAGACAAUAAAAACGUGUUUUGCACACUGACAGCAAAAUCGCAGUUCAGCUGCGAUUUCGCCUUUGGGGAAAUCUUUUCGACUCCGUUUUCGAUCCAAUACUCUCCAAACAUGACCCUAAUCAUUACCCUAUGAUCACCCUAUCAUUAUAACACUAAUUAUUCAUCAACCUACUGUAUUAUCCACUCUUUUUAAGACUAGAAACUCAAUUCACCUAAACUAGUUUUCUUUAAUUCUCAACUUUCAAUUUCAUCUUUUAAUUCUAAUCUCUCAAAUUCUAAAACCUCAACCUACAACCAUGUUAAAUUCAUCUUCAGAAUCACAUACUCAUAAUUAUUGAAGGUUAGUCCCACCCUUACCUUAGUAUUGAUGAUCGGCGGUCUCUCUCUCACUCUUGGUUCUCUUCUUUUCUUGUUUUCUCUCUUUUUCUCCAAGAAGCAGUUUCGUAAAAACUUUUCCAAACCUAGUUUCCUCCUUAUAUCUCUUCUCAAUCCACUUUAUCUUAUUUCCUCUAUUUCCACUAAACUCUUAUAAAUUCAAAAACAGCCUCACAUCUCAAUAUUUAUUUUAUUUUCAAAUUUUAUUCUAGUAAAUAAUAAAAUAAAUCUUUAAAUAAAAUAUCAACACAUCACAUAAUCAUAUAAAAUCACAUAAAUCAUCAAAUUAUAUUUCUUUGUCUCUCUAAUUUAUAUGAUAUAUAAGUGAAAAGGAAAUGAAAGUACAAAAGAUGGUGUACAUAACCAAACCCCUCGAGGAAAUAAAAAGUAAGAGAAAGAUCAAUUAUUCAAUUGAAAACCUUUGAAAGUACUUAUGCCAAGUAUGAUAGGGUAAUUUUCUUUUAAUUUAUGAUGGAGAGAGUAAUCUAUUACUACUAUCAUCGCAUCGAAUUGAGGUAUGAAUGCAAAGUUUGGUUUUGUAGAUUUUUUUACUCAUGUCAUUUUUUAGGUUAUGAUUUUAAUUUUCCCAAUUCGAUUAUUUUACUCGUUUAGGGUUUUGAUCUGAAACCAGUAUUUGUGAAGAGAGAAGAACGUAAUGGAUUUAUCAGCAGUGAAAACCGCAUUGUAAUCCAAAUCUUACGACAAAAUUGCUGAUAUCUGCGAUAAUCUAAUGCUUCAGUUUCGUUACUUUCUUUCACUCUCACUCAGGUUGCUGCCAACGGUGUUGCUUUUCACGACGAAUGGCCCUACGCUGUUCAUCUUCUGGCUCACUUCUAUGUUCAUGACACGUAAUCUAUUUUCCCUCUACUUAAUUUUAUUAUUCAAAAUGUAUACAAAUAAAUAAUGAAGAUGGAAGUGUUAUAUGCUUCAAGUUAAAUUAGUUUAAUGUUGGAUUGAUAUAUUGCUACUGUUAUAAUCUUUGUUUUAUAAUUGACAAUAGGCUGUUAGAAUUGACUUAUUUUAGUUUACCUACUUACAUUAGCAUUUGUGAGACUCGCCCGAUUGGGUUGGACUUAUUUACUUACAUAAGCCCUUGCGAGACUAUUUGGUAGAUUUAUAGAAACAACCUAUGACAUGUCUAUAAGUUGUUUUCAGUUUAUUUCCAUAAGCUCUCCGGGAUUGCUUAUGAAAUGAAAUAGCUUAUAGCUUAUAUGAAAAUAGUUUGACUUUAUUUUAUUUUAUGCUAUAGAAACAGCUAUGCAUAAGUAUUUAUAUGAGAAGCACUAAUGCUAUAGACGUUUAAUUAAGUUGUUUAUCCAAACAGGAUCAGUAUUUUGGAAGGGAUGGGGUUGGUUAUAUCUUAUGUCUUGUAACUUCUUUGAUUUUAGGUUUUCAUGUUUUCUGUUGUGAUAUUACAGCAACAGUGCUCGUUUUCUAUGGAAAACAAUACCUUCAUCAAUCAAAGAAAGCAACCCUGAAGUCAAUGCUGUGUGGAAAAUUGGUCAACAGCUUUGGUUAAGGAACUAUGGUGGAGUGCAUGAGGCGGUCCGUGGUUUUGAGUGGAGUCCAGAACUCCAAAGCUUCAUUUCUGCUUUCUCAGGCAAGCAUUUAAGAAUUUUUGAUUUUUUUAAUUUUGUUAGCAGAGCUUUGAAAGUUCUGUAGAAAGAAACUCUUUGAUCUUCACUAUAUUUUAGGCAUGAUUCUGUUCAAUUUAUCUUCACUUAAAAUAUCUUCUUAAAACUAUAGCUGUAUAAGCUGUUACCAUAGACUCCUAAUUAUCUAAACGUAGCCCUUGCUUUUAUUAUAACCCAUUAUAUCUUGUUAAUUUUGUCAGCAGACUAUAUUUUAUCAUGAAAGUAAGCCAUUUCUGUGUGGGACGAUCACUAAACCAUUGAUGUAUUGAUUAUUGAAUCUGUAGUAUUGUUGGUUGUUUACAUUACUGUAUUUAGUGUUCAAGAUAGUGGCAUGUUGCUAUGGAUGGAAACAAGUGGCUAAAAAUUGUUAUUGAUUGUUUGCACUGCUGUGUAUAGUCUUCAAGAUAGUUGCAUGUUGCUUUAGUAUGUUAUGGAUGGAAACAUUGCAAAAAGUUGAAUUGGUUUGAUCGGAAAAAAGUGUAAUAUAGUUUGAACUUGGGAAGAACAGUGAUUGAUCACUUGUUUUUGGCUGUUAUCUUCCUCUUUAAAUAUAACUCAAAAGAGUUUGAUGAAUAAUAUAAUUUCUUUGGCCAACAUGAAAUGUUGAUGAAGGUGCCAUGGAUCACAUAAAAUUUAGUAAACUAGUAAUGUACCACUCCUGCAAUAACUUCUGCAAUUGUUUUAUUAUGUUUCUUGCUUUUCAAUUUAUUUUCUAAGCAGGUUGACUGCAAAAGUCUUUUGCAUCUAUAUGUUUUUUUUUUCUUCUAAAGAAGAGUUGUACAGCACAAAAGUUAAUACAACCAAUAUGCUUUUUCCAGACCUUUACACAAAGGAGAUUUUUCACCUUCUUGUAUCUGCUUAUUCUACAAUAAGUGUUGAAGAUGUUGCUUUAUUUCUGGGAAUGAGUGAGGAUGCUGCUACAAGUUGUAAGUAGUUUUAUGUUCAUUUUUAAAUCAAACAAUGCUUGUCUAUUUGUUUUAGCACCUCUUGCAUCAUAAACAAUGUUUACGUGAUAAUUUUUUUUUACAUUAAAUAACAUCCACAAGCAAUCAAUGCAUUUAUUAUAACUUGAUUGGGGUCAACGUUAUUUCUGCAUGACUAGAUGAAGUUCAUUAAUGCCCGGCCUCUAUCCUUUCUCGACGACCCUUGGAACUGAAAAUAGUCCUUUGAAUCUUGCACUUGGAUACACAAUGUGUUCAGUGAAGACACUCAGAUACACAAUGUGUUCAGUGAAAGUGGAUUCCAAUUCUCCUUGUUAUAUUCCAUGCCACUACUGUCAAUAUAUCUACUAACUAAUUAGAUUUUUAGCUAGACUGCAGAGUAGCUAAUCAAAAUUUUAUGCUAAAAUGUGAUGAGCAAUAAGAGAAUCUUCUAAGGUUCCUCAUGUGCCACAUGAUGUAAUUAAUGAAAGUCAUCUAGAUAUAGCUGACAGUCCUGUUAGUGACAUAUAUGUUGGAUCUUUAUCAGCGUAGCUUCUGCACUCAAUCUUUAACCUCUUAAAUGGUUUAAUCUUAUAUUUGUGUCUCACUUUAUUGGGUUUGGAUUUAAGGUGGUUUGUUUUUGGGUCUAUUGACACUGUAGAAACCACGGUUUGGAAAUAUAUGUUUUUUUACGGAGAGCAGUUGCUGAAUUUGAGGCUAACUGUUUCUUGAAAUUCUAAGUAUCUGACAAGUAUACACUUGGAAUGAGGAGAAAAGAGAAGGAAAUAGAAUGAAUAUUGGAUUAUCAAUUCAAGAAGUCAGUCAGUGAAAAAUGGAGGAGAAAAUAAUGGGGGUGGGAACCAAAAGGAAAAAAAUGAAUGAAAGAUUAAAACUUCCCUGCACUAUCUAAUAUUAUCAGUUUAACUUUUCCCUCUCCUAGAAACAGUAGAACUUGGAUAUUGGUUAUAUUUUGUGCUUGGAUUGAGAAAUUAAUCAAAAUUAUAUUUGAAGCCCAAAUCAACGUGAUAAUUGGCAUUUGAUGAUGAAUUGGUGUUGUCAUACAGCGGCUAUCGUGGUGCUUUAGUGCCAUAACGUGGCGGAAUUUUGACAAACCGCUAUUGCUCCCCAGCGAUACGCGAUUAAGUCCAAAAUGAUGUCAACUUGCAACUGUAUAGGUACUAUAACUCUGUAGUGUAGCGGAAUUUGAACAAUCCACUAUUUUCCACCAUCUACAAUUGACAACACUGGUCAAUCUGGCAGGCUGGAAGUGAUCAUGACAACUACUAACAAUGAGCUAUCUUGGAAACUGCAACCUCUGCUUGUGUAGUCUUAUUUUUGCUGCCUUUUGAAAAAUUAAUCAAGCAUUAAAUUAUAUCAACCAUCUCUUCCCUUUCUAUGAUAUCAUUAUAGACUUUUUGAUUGUAUGAUUGUAGAUGUACUACAACAAGGUUGGACCGUGGACAAUGCCUCUCGGAUGCUUACUGUGAAGAAGCAACCUGUUGUGUCAGUGCAGAAACUUGAUCCUCGCAAAUUGCAACAGCUGACAGAAUAUGUCUUCCAUCUUGAGCAUUGAAGCUUUUAAUCUUGUGAAGGAAUUAGACGAAUGUUUUUCUGAAACUCUUCAAUCACGUGAUCCACCUUUUGAAGGUGUAUGAAAGUGCAUAUAUUCUAUUGAUAGUUUUGGAAACAAGGCAGAAUCUUUCUUGUGUUUUAACUUGAGCUCUGAUUAGAUGAAUUUUGCAUGGCACUUCUGGUAGUUAUUGAACAUGCCGUUUUCUUGUAUGAUAGCGAAACGUAAAGAAUUUUGCUGAUUAAACCUGCUUUAGAGAAAUCCAGUUACUCUGUAUAUUCUUUAGUACAGUGAAUAUUUUUUCAUGGGAUUAUUAUGUGAGAGUUGCUGUUUACACAUAUGCUUGGGCUGAAAAACACAUGUAAAAGACGAAAAUGCCCCUGCGGUAGUUAACUACCGAAGUUUGGAACCGGUUGCAGUUAACUACCGAAGUUUCUUCGGCAGUUAACUGCCGAUGAAAAAACGACAAAAAAAAAAACCUCGGCACUUAACUGCCGAGGAACUCAUCAAACUUUUUUUUCUUUUUAAAACAGAGUACUUCCUACAAACUUGAAAUGAUACUUCCUACAAAAAUAAUACUUACUUUUCUGCCAUAAAAUGUCAUUGUGUCACCAUCCAUGGCAAAUAGAAAUUGGUUUGUAACAUUUGGCAAAAUAUCCACCACUAAUAUGAUGUCUCGGAAAUAAAUUGCUAUUAAUUGAUUGCAAUGAUUCUUUAGGCAUGUUUAUAUAAAAGUACUAUGUAUAUUCUGUACAUAUUUAUAACAAAUCAGCAACAAUGCUGAAAAAGGAAAAACAAAUGUUCAUGAGUUCCUCGGUACUUAAGUGCCGAGGUUUUUUUUUUUGUUUUUUCCGUCGGCAGUUAAUUACCGAAGGGAAGAAACUUCGGUAGUUAACUGCAGCCGGUUCAUUAUUUCGGUAGUUAACUGCCGAGGGGUCAUUUUCGUCUUUUACUAGUGUUUCUCAGCCUUAUAACAUGUGUAAACAGCAAUUCUCUUAUUAUGUUACUUGUAGGCGGGGUAAUACUGAUAGUUAAUACGUAUUUUCAUCAUAAUUGGAUUUAGAUUGCUACUUUCUAGACCAACUAACCUGACAGCGAAACUGUUAACUAGUUAAAUAAGGAAAGCUAAGAUCUCACAACGUUGAAUUUAACGUGUUACAACUUACAAUAGUUCUUGGAACCUCUUUAACUAAAAAUAUUAGUUCUUGGAACGGUAAUUUUAGAAUUUUUUCAAUUUGGCCAUACUAUUGCGCUGCCCAACAUUAGUUGACCUGCAAACUUGUGGUAAGCACAUUAAUCUAAGACGGUGAUGACAAUGAUAAUCGCAAACAUGCCUUAUCAGCAAUAUAUAUUUAAAAUCAUGGCCCGGAACUAUCCAUAAUUUGGAGAAUAAUUCUAAGAAAUAAAGCCAAAGCUUUGAGUUUCCGAUGCGUUAGCAUAUUUUAGCAUAAAACUACUUAUAUUUAAAGAUAACCUAAACAAUUUGGUCCUCAAGAAUCAGCAACAAAAUUUGUUAACCAAAAAAUAUUAUGCAUGAAUAUAAGCAAUGUUCAGAAUCAAAUAUAAUGUUUCAGCUUAUAGCUAGUAAAUACGACCUCACCACCAUUUUCUCCACCGAUAUCUUUGUCUACCGCAUGUAGUCAUAUGCAAUAGACAAUCCUUUCCAUUAAUUUGUAACCUUUCCAUUAAUUUGUAAUUGGAUAGUCUAAAUCACACAUUCAAAAAUUCACCUUUAAAUAAUCUCAAAUAUCGAUAAAGAUUUGACUGUCAAUAACAGUUUUACCGUGACAGAUAAACCUUAUGUUUUAUUAUCAUUAUUAUAUUAUAAAAUAUAAUAUCAAGUGAUGUGAUGUGAUGUGAUGAUUGCACUAGUGACUUGGGUUCAUAUAAUUUGGACCGGUUAUACUUUAGGUUCAACAUGGACCACUCAAAUGACCUACUAAUGUAGGUUUGAAACCAGUCAAAAGUUCUGAAGCACACAACAAGUGAAUCGUACCAACCUGGAAGCUAUUAUUAUUGAGAAAUAAUAUUUGUACAAUCAUUUUGUGGCAAUUUUUUGACAACUCUCUCUCUUUCAUACUUACAUUAUAAUUUUAUUCUCUCUCUUCAUUUUUCUCUUUCCUUUAUUUUUGAUCAAUAAAAAAAGAGAAAAAUGAAGUUGUCAUCGUAGUUGUAAAAAAUGGUUGUUCAAAUAUCACUUUUUUUUUUUUUUUGGUACAUCACUACUCAUUAUUAUUAUUAAAUUUAAAAAUAAAUAACGUGUAUAAUAGACACCUGAUUGUUGUCCCUCCAUUAGAACGGUCGAAACUAUUACAAUUUAUAAAUCAAAAAGUUAAAAUUAAAAAUUUAAUAAAGUCUAUGGGUAAAAAAAACUAAGUAAAAAAUGAGAGAACGUGAGGCGAGCGAACGUGAGGCGAGGGUGCGCCUGCGAGGGGGCCGGCCGUUCCAACGGUGGCAACCGCGCCGGUGGCAUUCUCCUGUUGAGAGAAACACAGGGGGGGUUAGGGUUCAUGCCAGGGCGGCAUAUAUUGAGAGUGGGGGGGAUAGGGGUGGAUGGUCUGUUGUGCGGUCUCGGAAGUGGAAAGCGACGCAACCGGAGGAUCGAGGAUGGGACUGGUUCAGAGAUUCAGAGAGGCAGGGACGGCUGGUUCAGGGAAGAGGGUUUGCAGAUCAGAAUUCUGGUAGGUCAGUUUGGGCAGCGCGCGGCCAGGCUAGGGUUUAUGAUCAUUCACGUAAGCAUGCUGCGGACAGCAAGGGUUACUCAGCGAAUUCUCGUGACAGAGUCUCCUUCUAUUUCACAAAUAUCCCUCAACGUGUUCCUGGUCAUCGUUUACGUCAUUAUUUUGAGGUAUGUGGUAUUCUUUCAGAUGUGUUUGUAGCUAGACGGCUUAAUGCACGUGGUCAGGUUUAUGGGUUUGUUAGAUAUGUGAAUGUGAAAAAUAGAGACAAACUAGGACAGGCUUUGAAUAACAUUUGGAUUGGAGACUGCCGUAUAUGGGCUAGGGAAGCAAGGUUUGAUAGGUUUGCGGCUUUUGAUGAGGAAUGUAGGAAGGAUAAUUUGAUUAGUAGUAGUUCUUUGAAGGGUGUGGAGGUUCAGCCAGUAGUGAUAACUCAUGGAGAAGGGAUUGAGAAUGUGAGGGUGAGAAAGGAGGAGGAGGUGGAGAAGGAGAGUGACGGGAAUACUGUGGUAAAGUCUGGUAUGGAGGAUGGUAAGUUGGAUGAAAAAAAGAUAGUUGAAAAUAAUAAAAUAGAAAAGAAAAUGGAUGAAAAUAAUAUAGUUGAAAAUAAUAAAAAAGAAAAGAAGGGUGAGGAUGAGGGAGUUAAGGAGAAGGAGAGUCUUGUUUUAUGUUAUAACUCGAAAGCGGAGGAUCGGUUGUGGGCUAGUGGAGGUAUGGUGGCAAGGGUGUUAUCGGGUGACUCAUCGUUAUCCUUACAGCAUAGGGUGGAGGAUGCUGGUUUCUCAAAUGUUGUUGUUAUUCCUUUGGGAAGUGAUAGGGUUUUUUUGUAUUGUUUGGGAGAUGAGGAUAUUUGGAAUGUUUUCAAUGAUGCUAUUCAUUUUUUUGGGAUGCUCUUUGGGGAUUUGCAUAAAUGGUCACUAGUGGAUCUUAUUUAUGAAAGGGGUGCUUGGUUACGGAUUUAUGGUGUUCCUUUACAUGCAUGGAACAAUUCAUUUUAUCAAUUAUGUGUGGCAAAGUGUGGAAGAUUUAUUCGUUCUGAUGGGUGUACGGAGGAUAGGGGGCGGUUGGAUUACGCUCGUGUUCUUAUCUCGACAUCGCUUUUGGAGGUUAUUGAUAAUUCUUGUGAGGUUAUUAUUGAUGGAGUUAAACUUGAUCUAAAGUUGGUGGAGGAGUGGGGUUGUAAUCUAGGGGAGGAUGCUUUUUUGUCAGAUGAGAAUGUGGAGGCACCUUCGGAAGCUUUUCCUAAUUUCCAAGAUGAUAUCGAAACAGACGCGUUUAAACAGGAUAUUGAUUUUUUUGUGGAUGAUUUGAAUGAAGAUUGGAGGAAAGGGUGUGGUUCGAAUGAUGCUGCGGGUACUGUGUCUUGUAAUGAGGACUUUUUUGGGAAGAAGUUGCAGCCCUCGGUGGAGAAUAAGGAACCGGCCUUGGUCAGGGUGGCGGAUUGUGUUGGUAAGGAAGUAAACUCAUUAUCUCAUGGUGUCACUCGUUCGGUUAAGGUGUGUCCUACUUCUAGUGUGCCUUCUUCAAAAUCGAAACUUAAUGAUAAGAAGCAGAUGGGGGUCUCUUUUAAGCAUUCGGCGGGUUUUGUUAAAAGAAUUGCUCGGUUACCUUCGAAGGAUAGAAAGGAGAUUUUGAAAAUUCUACGAAAAAGAGAUCGAAAAAAAAAGGCUUUGAUCAAGACUUCUUUGGCAGUAAAUAAUUCAACCUCUACUUCUAAUAACUCGUCCAAUGCGUCGGUGAACAAAGAUUGGGAGCAUUGGGUGGUUCUUCAUGAUAAAAAGGAGAAGGUGGAGGAGGAUGUGAGGAAGUUGGGUAAGUUGUUGGGUGCUUCAGUUAAGGGUGAUAAUUUAAAUGGUUUCAAUUUGUUGACUAAGGAGGGUAGACGAGGGUUGAGGGCGGAGCGAGGGAGUAUGGAUGGGGAAGAUGUGGAGGUGGUUAGUAGGGGUGGUGGGGAUGAAAUGUAAGUGGAGGUGGGGAAGUGGUGGGUGGGGGUGGAGUCUAGGUGCUUAUGAAGAUUUUCUCUUAUAAUGUUAGGGGGUUGGGUGGUUUUGAGAAAAGAGCGGAGGUGCGGCAUUUGGUUCAAGAUAAGCAACCGUUUGUGUUAUGUCUACAAGAAUCUAAGUUGGGUUUGGUUGAUAAUUUUACAGUUAAAUCGGUGUGGGGCAGUAAUUGUUGUGGGUAUUCCUAUCAACCUUCUGUUGGGGCUUCAGGAGGGUUAUUAUCUAUUUGGGACUCGUCCGUGGUGGAGGUUUGGUGUACUGUGAGUUUCAGACAUGUUUUGAUUAUUAAAGGGAGGGUGUUAUUGUCAGGUCAAGAAUUUAUUAUUGUUAAUGUUUAUGCUCCUUGUGAUUUUGCUGCAAAACAAGUUUUAUGGGCUCGUCUGUCUGAUUUUAUUUUGAAUAACAAUGAAGCUAAUAUUUGUGUGUGUGGGGAUUUCAAUUCUAUUAGAGUGGCGGAAGAGAGAAGAGGUAGGAAUAUGAUUUUCAGACAAGUAGAUGCUGACCAGUUUAAUGAGUUCAUUGAAGGAAAUUUUCUGAUUGAUUUACCGCUGUGUGGUAGAUUAUUUACUUGGUUUCGGGGUGAUGGUAUCUCUAUGAGUAGAAUUGACAGAUUUCUGGUGUUUGCUAAGUGGAGUGAAUCUUGGCCUAACUGUAUUCAAGUUGCUUAUCAGCGGGGUUUAUCCGAUCAUGUUCCCCUUGUUUUAUUUGUUGAUGACUCAAAUUGGGGUCCUCGUCCUUUGCGUUUGUUAAAGUGUUGGUCCGAGUAUGCCGGUUAUGGUGAUUUUGUUUGAGAAAAAUUGAAUUCAUUCGACUUGGAAGGGUGGGGCGGCCAUGUGCUGAAAUUGAAGCUUAAGAUGAUUAAAUUGUGUCUUAAGGAGUGGCAUCAACUACAUUCCAAGAAUAUUGAUGGUCAGAUUGGGAAGAUUAAAAAUAAAAUUUCUAUUCUGGACACUAAGGCGGAGGAAUGUGAGUUGGUGGAGGAAGAAUCUAAGGAGCUUCGUGAUUUGUCUGUUGAGUUACAUUCUAUGUCACGUGUUUUUACUAGUAUGAAUUGGCAGAAGGCUAGGAUGAAUUGGAUGAGGGAGGGGGAUGCGAACUCUAAAUUUUUUCAUAAUGUAAUGUCUGCAAGACAACGAAGAAAUGCGUUACAGGUGAUCCAUGUUGAUGGCGUGUUGGUGGAAGGAGUCCAAGGCAUUCGAACAGCAGUUUUUAAUCAUUUUGCAAGCCAUUUCCGUAAUAUUGAUAUGGUGCGGCCAGGUGUGGAUGGUUUCAACUUUCGAAAGCUUUCUGUUAUCCAAGCUGGGAGUCUGGUUCGGCCUUUUACUUUGGAUGAGAUUAAAAAGGCGGUUUGGGACUGUGAUAGUUUUAAGAGCCCGGGUCCAGAUGGUAUUAAUGUGGGGUUCAUUAAAGAUUUUUUGAAUGAACUUAAAGAUGAUUUGUUGAGGUUUUUUGUGGAGUUCCAUCGAAAUGGGAAAUUAACGAAGGGUGUAAAUUCGACGUUCAUUGCUUUGAUUCCGAAGGUGGUUAGUCCUCAAAGGUUAGCUGAUUUUCGUCCCAUUUCUCUUGUGGGUUGCAUGUAUAAAUUGUUAGCUAAGGUCCUUGCUAAUCGCCUUCGUAGUGUUCUGGAUUUUGUGGUGUCGGAUGCUCAGUCAGCCUUUGUUCGAGGUAAGCAAAUUUUGGAUGGUAUUCUUAUUGCUAACGAGGUUGUUGAUGAGGCUAGGCGUAUGAAAAAAGAAUUAUUACUUUUUAAGGUUGAUUUUGAAAAGGCCUGUGACUCGAUUGAUUUUAAGUACAUUAAUUCGGUGAUGGUGAAUAUGAAUUUUCCAACUCUUUGGAGAAAAUGGAUUAUGGAAUGUAUUGGCACAGCCUCUGCAGCAGUUUUGGUUAAUGGGUGUCCGACGGAGGAGUUCCCGAUCCUGAGGGGUCUUAGACAGGGGGAUCCUCUUUCCCCUUUUUUGUUUUUACUGGCGGCCGAGGGGUUUGAUGUUAUGAUGAAGGCCUCUGUGUCGAAUGAUUUGUUUCAACCGUAUGGGGUAGGAGUUCAAGGGGAGGUUAAACUUUCUCAUCUUCAGUUUGCCGAUGAUACUCUUAUUAUUGGUGAGAAGUGUUGGUUGAAUGUUCGUACGAUUCGGGCGGUGUUACUUUUUCUUGAGGAAGUGUCAGGGUUGAAGGUUAACUUUAAUAAAAGUAUGUUGACUGGUGUUAAUAUUCCUAACUCAUGGUUAUCAGAAGCGGCUGCAGUGUUGAAUUGUAAAACUGGGAUACUUCCUUUUUUGUAUUUGGGCCUGCCUAUUGGUGGUGAUGAGAGAAAGCUCUGUUUUUGGAAACCUGUGUUGGAUCGUAUAUCUGCUAGAGUGUCGACAUGGAAUAAUAAGUAUUUAUCUUUUGGUGGUCGUCUGGUUCUCUUGAAGUCAGUCCUAUCCUCUCUCCCGGUUUACUUUCUUUCCUUCUUCAAGGCCCCUACAGGUAUCAUCUCCUCUAUCGAAUCUCUUUUUUAAAAAAUUCUUUUGGGGUGGGUGUGAGGGUUCUAACAAAAUUGCCUGGAUUAAUUGGGAUUCUAUUUGUCUACCCUUGAGUCGUGGUGGUUUAGGGGUCUGGAAAUUAGGGGAUUUUAAUCUGUCGUUAUUAGGUAAAUGGUGUUGGUGGAUAAGAAUGGCCUGUGGUACAGAGUUUUAAAGGCUCGGUAUGGGGAAGUUGGGGGUCGGAUUAAGGAGGGAGGGCGUCUUUCCUCUAGGUGGUGGAGACUGAUUUGUAGGGUGAGGGAUGGUACGGGGUUAUUGGUGGGAAGUUGGUGGGAAGAUAACAUUAGAAGGGUGGUAGGUAAUGGUCGUGACACUUUUUUUUGGACUGAUAAUUGGUUGGGUGAUGUUCCGUUAAAAAUUCAGUUUAGUCGUCUUUUUGAUUUAGCUGUUAAUAAGGAGUGUUCGGUGGAGGAUAUGGCGAGAGCGGGGUGGGAAGAUGGUGGAGGUGGUUGGGAGUGGAGGCGCCGUUUAUUUGCUUGGGAGGAGGAAGGCGUGAGGGAUUGUGUCAAUUUGUUACAUAACAUUGUUUUGCAGGAUAAUAUUCAGGACCAGUGGAGGUGGUUACUUGAUCCUAUUCAUGGUUAUACGGUUAAGGGGACUUAUUGUUUCUUAACCAAUAAGGAGGUUCAGGUGACUGAUGUUGAAGGUCUUGAUGUAUAGCAUAAAUGUGUUCCUUCCAAGGUGUCUGUGUUUGCUUGGCGUCUUCUUCAAGACAGAGUUGCUACUCGCGCUAAUCUGGUGCGCCGUCGAGUUUUACAAGCUACUGAUAAUUUGUGUGUUGGUGGAUGUGGCUACUCUGAGACGGCGAAUCAUCUUUUUUUUCAGUGUACUUCUUUUGGGCAGGUCUGGUAUUUUGUGUGCCAGUGGCUUGGUAUACCUUGCGUUUUUCAGGGCUCGGUUAAACGACACUUUCUUCAGUUUAGCCAGAUGGCAGGGAUGACGCAUCAUUCUCAUGUUUUUAUGAAGGUUAUUUGGUUGGCUUGUGUUUGGGCAAUCUGGAAGGAGAGAAAUAACUGUGUUUUCAAUAUGGUGGUUAUCAAUCCUGUUAACAUUUUUGAAAGAGUGAAGUUGUUGUCUUUUCUUUGGCUUUCAUCCAACAUGGCUAGUUUUUCGUUUGGUUUUCAUGAUUGGUGGCGUUUUCCACGGUUUUGUAUGGGUAUUAUGUAAUCUAUUGUAGCUUUCAGCUUUCUUGGCAUCACUUUUAGGUGCUUUUGUUUGUAACAGACUUUAGGUGUUUUUUCACUUUUGCACACCUUGUGCAGGGCGAUUCACCUUUCUUUUGAGCAAUAUAUCCCAUUUUGAUUUGUUCAAAAAAAAAAAAAAAAAAAAGUCUAUGGUGCAUCAUCGACAAUAUUGAUCCAGUUUAGACAUUUAGUGUUAAAAAUUUAAUGGUGAUGACCAAUAACCAACGACAGGAUAUAUAUAAGGGAGCAAUUUACAAAUUUUAAUAAUCAUGAGAUCAUUUCGAAACAAAGAAUUAAGUUAAGGGACAGACUAUCUAUUUUUUUAUUUUUUUUAUUUUUUAGUUUUUGUAAAAAAGUGAAAAACAAUAAGUGGCUUAAGAAGGGUUUUAUUAUCAUUGUUGUUACCAUCAACGCUCAGCUCACUCACCACACGACCAUAUUUCCUUUCACAACCUUCACCUUAUGUUAGAGAAUCAGGGGCUGUAUGAACAUGUAUUCAAUUUAGCUUCACCAUAAGCAGCAACAAGUAUUUCAAUUCUUCUCAUGUGAAUCAUAUUAUCUCAGUUAUUCUCCUCUUCUCACUGACGACUCACUCGCCUCACCCUAACGUCUGUAUUAUCUCAUCCUUGUGUUUACUCUCCCGCUGUUUUCUCUCGUCUCUCUCUCACCUCUUGUUGUUAGAUAAGCUAAGGUAAGCCAAUUGAUUCUCCAAUUUCUCAUUUCUUCUCUAUUUGAAUUGGAUUAAGUAUUUUGUUUUAAUGUGCUCCAAGUGUUCGACAAAAUGCUGAAUGAUUAAAUUUCUGUUACUUUAAUGGUGAGAAAAGACUUUGUAUGUACGUGUGUUUGUAUUUAAUUAUUUAUGGUUCUAAGUUUGUUUCAUUUUGGAGCAAAACAAAAGAUUAAGUUUGAUAAUUUGAAUGAAAAGAGAUGUUAUGAAUCAUUAACAAUUACUUUGGUUUUAAUUGUAAAUGUUUCUAUUUCUAUAAAUUUUGUGCAUAUCACUUGCUUGAUAAUUUGCAUGAAAAAGGAUGCGAUGAAUCAUUAACAAUUACUUUGGUUUUAACUGUUAAUGGUUCUAUUUCUAAGAGUUUUGUUUACGUGCUAGGGUUGUAUAAGUGUUUGAUGUGAUUUAAUUAGGUAGAAGAUGGAAGUUUUGUAUGGAACUCGAAAUUUUCUUGAGGAAGUUUUAUAUGCAAAUCUUGAUAUUGUAAGUGAUGUGAUGUAAGUUUAUGAUAAGUGAUGAUAAUGUUAUAUUAUCUGACUAGUAGCUGAUAGGAGUCUAGUGAGAGAAAUUCUGUUAAUGGGGAUUAAUCCUAGAGCUAAGUAAUUGUAAAUAUAACAUUGAGGAGGUAAAAAUUUCUGCAUGUUUUUGUUGCUAAAAAGAAUGCUACUGUUGUAAAUACCUUAGGCCAAAACUCUGUCUUCCAACUUCGUCUUCUUCUUUCCGCAACGAAACGUUACGAUGAACAUGCUGGAUUGUUCUCGAAUCUAAAAGGUGCGAAAAAAAUAUCCUCCCUAAUCCUCAUGUUAUUUAAAUUAUCCUUACCAAAACAACAAGUUUUGUCUAUAAUGUUAGAAUUAAUUUGAUUUUAAUGAGUUUUAAUGGGUGGAACGGUGGAUUUUGUGUCUAUAUUUUAAAGCUGAAAAAGUUAAAUUUGAGCAUAAACCUGAGUAAUUUACCAUUAUUACUGUAAAUUUGUUGACCAAAUACCAAACUGUGAAUCUGUAAAAAGACAGGAAUUUGUUUGACUGAAGUUUUAAUGGGUGGAUUUUUUUUGAUAAUUAAUAAACAAUUGAUUUGUGUUGAAUGUUGGUUUAUUGAUUGUUGCUAACAUAAAAACUGUGUCUGAAAUUCAGGAAGAACACGUAUAAUUGUUACCGGCUGUGGAAGUGAAAAAUGGAUGAUGCCGUAUCAAAUCCAUGUUACCCUUGAUGCAAUAUUACAUGAUGAAGCCAUCAGAAAAACUUUGAGAAGAAUCCCAAAACGCAAGCCAUUGAUUGAUUUGCAGAAGUAGCUUCAAGGGUUUUUGUUGGGUUUUUCUCUUCUACUCCUAAGAAAGAAAUGAAGUCACCUUAAUUUCAUUUCACUCUUCUUCAAACAAUGUAUCGACACCACCGUUUCACUCUCUCCACUCUCCGCUAUCUCACCCACACAAAUCCAUUUCCAUUCCACUCACACCCCCCUCGCCACUUCUCCACCACUCCCUUCCGCCGUCCACCACCCGACCCAAACGACCCUUCCACCCUCCUUAAGGAAGACGCUUUCUCGCUCAUCUCCAAUCUCUGGAUCGAAAACUUCCGCCAACCCGAUAAACUCAUCACCAACCUCUCCUCCACCCUCCGCCGCUUCGAACUCUGGCUCCUAGCUUACCAGAAAGUCACCACCGAUGAAACCGGUUCCUACACCCCUCGGUCCUCCAUCCAACGCUCUGAACUCGAAAACCUCCUCGCUCUUCGUAACGCCGUCGUUGACGGCAAUUUCAAAUGGGGCUCCCGUCUCAAAUUCUUCAUCAAAUCACCCAUUGAUAAAACCGAUCACGAUUCCUUAUCCAAAAGAAAAAUCAAAAUCAUCUUAAACACCACACAACCUACACCUUUUCAAGAUAGAAUUGUUCAGGAGGUUUUAUUAAUGAUUCUUGAACCAAUUUAUGAACCUAGGUUUUCAGAGAAAUCGUAUGCUUUUCGUCCUGGGAGGACGCCGCAUACGGUUUUGAGGGUGAUAAGAAGGAAUUUCGCAGGCUAUUUAUGGUAUUUGAAAGGUGAUUUGAGUACUUUGUUGGAUGGAGUAAAAGUAGGGUUAGUGAUUAAUUCUGUUAUGAGAGAUGUUAGGGAUAAGAUGGAUGUGGAUUUGUUGAAAUCCGCGUUGGUUACGCCGGUUGUAACGAGUAAGAUUGAUGAUAGGGAGGUGAAGAAGAAGAAGAGGAAGUAUCAGAAAAAGAGGGUUUUGAAUGAGGAUGAGCCAAAGCCGGAUCCUUAUUGGUUGGAUACUUUUUUUGGAUUUGCGCCAGAGGAAGCUGAGAAGGUUCCGAGUUGGGGACAUUGUGGAGUUUUGAGUCCGCUUUUGGCAAAUAUUGUUUUGGAUGAGUUGGAUCGUUGGUUGGAAGGGAAAAUGAAGGAGAUUUACGUUCCUUCUAAGAGUGAUGUUAUAUGGAAUAGUCCCGAAGGGGAAGCAGAGCAAGGGAACACUUCUUGGCCGGAGUUUGUGCCGACUAGUGGACCGGAUAAAACUAGGAAGAUGGAUUUUAUAAGAUAUGGAGGUCAUGUACUGAUCGGUGUUCGGGGUCCUAGAGCAGACACAGCGACGUUGAGGAAGCAGUUGAUUGAGUUUUGUGAUCAGAAGUUCAUGAUCAAGCUUGAUAACGAAUGCCUCCCUAUAGAACAUAUAACCAAAGGUAUAAUGUUUCUUGAUCAAGUGCUUUGUAGGAGAGUUGUUUAUCCGACACUUAGGUACACUGCAACUGGUGGUAAGAUCAUUAGAGAAAAGGGUGUAGGAACACUUUUAUCGGUCACCGCGAGCUUAAAGCAAUGUAUUAGGCAAUUUAGAAAGUUGAGUUUUCUUAAGGGUGAUAGGGAUCCUGAUCCACAGCCUUGUUUUAGGAUGUUUCAUGCCACUCAAGCUCAUACCAAUGCUCAAAUGAACAAGUUUUUGUCAACCAUGGUUGAGUGGUAUAGGUUUGCAGACAAUAGGAAGAAGAUUGUGAAUUUCUGUUCUUAUAUCAUAAGAGGUUCACUUGCAAAGCUCUAUGCUGCUAAAUACAAGCUUCGCUCGCGUGCGAAAGUAUAUAAGAUUGGUGCUCGAAACCUGAGCCGUCCGCUGAAGGAGAAGAAAGGGCAGUCUCCUGAAUACCAGAAUUUGCUUAGGAUGGGUCUUGCCGAAUCAAUUGAUGAGCUUCAGUAUACAAGGAUGUCCCUCGUGCCUGAGACGGAUUACACCCCAUUCCCUGGUAAUUGGAGGCCUGACCAUGUAAACGCAUUGCUAGAAUACAUAAAAUUAGCAGAUCCAAAGACUUCGGAGGAGCAACAGAGUUGCAUCAGAGAACAAGGUCUUGUUACACCCCAAGAUUAUAUUUCAAUGCUUGUUUGGAAUUACAAAAGGAACUCUCUUCCUAUGGACCAUUUCUCGUUAGCAAAGAGAGACGAAAGUGUUGUAGGGAAUCAACAUUUUCUAGCUUCCUCAAACCAGGACGACACAAGCAAAGAGGAAGAAAAUGAUGCAAGGAUAAAUGGAGCACAAAUGUAACAGAAGGGUUGGUAAUGUGCACUUGCAUUGAAAUGCUUUAAUUAUACUAUUUUUUUAUUUGUAUGUGUUUUUUGAAUAGGAUCUUUCAAGAUACUCUUGUUCUUUUACCUUCCUCCUCUUCCUCUCUGCUUUCUCUACCUUUUGAUCUAAUGUGUAGUCAUUAAAGUGUGUUACAAGAAUGAUGAAUGUUACAAAUAUAAAAGCCAUUCACAUGUGUUAUGUACCUUUUGUUUGCUGGUUACUUCAUGGAUUAUUGUUCGUUAUUAGACGAUGAAAUAUGUUGCCUGAGAAAUUGUGAUGUUACUUCACUUGUGUGUAUGUUAAAUGUUUGACGACUGCUACACAAAUUUUAUGAUGUAUGCUGCAAAACCGCCUGUUGUUGAGAUGUUUGAAGCACUGCGGAGUUUCUUUAUGGCGUGACAUAUUUCUGCCAUUCACAGUGAAAGUGGAUUCUAAUUCUCCUUGUUGUAUUCCAUGCCACUACUGUCAAUAUAUCUACUACUACUAACUAAUUGAAUUUUUAGCUAGACUGUAGACUGUUGAGUAGCUAAUUGAAUUUUAUGUAGAGUAGUUACAUGUUGCUUUAGUAUGUUAUGGAUGGAAACAUUGCAAAAAGUUGAAUUACUUUGAUGGAAAAAAGUGUAAUAUAGUUUCAACCUGGGAAGAACGGUGAUUGAUCACUUGUUUUUGGCUGUUCUCUUCCCCUUUAAAUAUAACUAAAAAAGAAUUUGAUGAAUAAUGUAAUUUCUUUGACCAACAUGUAUUGUUGACGAAGGUGCCAUGGAUCGCAUAAAAUUUAGUAAACUAGUGAUGUGCCACUUCUGCAAUGACUUUUGCAAUUGUUUUAAUAAGUAUGUUUCUUGCUUUUCAACUUAUUUUCUAUGCAGUUUGACUGCAAAAGUCUUUUGCAUCUAUAUGUUUUUUUUCCUUCCAAAUAUGAGUUGUACAACGCAAAAGUUAAUAUCACCAACAUGCUUUUUCCAGAACUUUACACAAAGGAGAUUUUUCAGCUUCUUGUAUCUGCUUAUUCUACAAUAAGUGUUGAAGAUGCUGCUUUAUUUCUGGGAAUGAGUGAGGAUGGUGCUACAAGUUGCAGGUAAUUUUAUGUUCAUUUUUAAAUCAAACAAUGCAUGUCUAUUUGUUUUAGCACCUUUUGGAUCAUAAACAAUGUUGUCCUGAUAUAUAUUUUUUUACAUUAAAUAACAUCCACAAGCAAUCAUUGUAUUUAUUAUAACUUGAUUAUGUUCAACAUUAUUUUUGCAUGACUAGAUGAUAUUCAUUAAUGCUUGGCCCUUAUCCUUUCUUGACGACCGUUGAACCGAAAAUAGUCCUUUUAAUCUUGCACUCGGAUACACAAUGUGUUCAGUGAAAGUGGAUUCCAAUUCUCCUUGUUGUAUUCCAUGCCACUACUGUCAAUAUAUCUACUAACUAAUUGGAUUUUUAGCUAGACUGUAGACUGUAGAGUAGCUAAUCAAAAUUUUAUGCUAAAAUGUGAUGGGCAAUAAGAGAAUCUUUUAAGGUUCCUCAUGUACCAUGUGAUGUAAUUAAUGGAAGUCAAGUAGAUAUAGCUGAGAGUCCUGUUAGUGACAUAUAUGUUGGAUCUUUAUUAGCGUAGCUUCUGCACUCAAUCUUUAACCUCUUAAAUGGUUUAAUCUUAUAUUUGUGUCUCACUUUAUUGGGUUUGGAUUUAAGGUGGUUUGUUUUUGGGUCUAUUGACACUGUAGAAACCACGGUUUGGAAAUAUAUGUUUUUUUACGGAGAGCAGUUGCUGAAUUUGAGGCUAACUGUUUCUUGAAAUUCUAAGUAUCUGACAAGUAUACACUUGGAAUGAGGAGAAAAGAGAAGGAAAUAGAAUGAAUAUUGGAUUAUCAAUUCAAGAAGUCAGUCAGUGAAAAAUGGAGGAGAAAAUAAUGGGGGUGGGAACCAAAAGGAAAAAAAUGAAUGAAAGAUUAAAACUUCCCUGCACUAUCUAAUAUUAUCAGUUUAACUUUUCCCUCUCCUAGAAACAGUAGAACUUGGAUAUUGGUUAUAUUUUGUGCUUGGAUUGAGAAAUUAAUCAAAAUUAUAUUUGAAGCCCAAAUCAACGUGAUAAUUGGCAUUUGAUGAUGAAUUGGUGUUGUCAUACAGCGGCUAUCGUGGUGCUUUAGUGCCAUAACGUGGCGGAAUUUUGACAAACCGCUAUUGCUCCCCAGCGAUACGCGAUUAAGUCCAAAAUGAUGUCAACUUGCAACUGUAUAGGUACUAUAACUCUGUAGUGUAGCGGAAUUUGAACAAUCCACUAUUUUCCACCAUCUACAAUUGACAACACUGGUCAAUCUGGCAGGCUGGAAGUGAUCAUGACAACUACUAACAAUGAGCUAUCUUGGAAACUGCAACCUCUGCUUGUGUAGUCUUAUUUUUGCUGCCUUUUGAAAAAUUAAUCAAGCAUUAAAUUAUAUCAACCAUCUCUUCCCUUUCUAUGAUAUCAUUAUAGACUUUUUGAUUGUAUGAUUGUAGAUGUACUACAACAAGGUUGGACCGUGGACAAUGCCUCUCGGAUGCUUACUGUGAAGAAGCAACCUGUUGCGUCAGUGCAGAAANGGAAUUUGAACAAUCCACUAUUUUCCACCAUCUACAAUUGACAACACUGGUCAAUCUGGCUGGCUGGAAGUGAACAUGACAAUUACUUAAAAUGAGCUAUCUUGGAAAGGCAGCUCUGCUUGUGUAGUCUUAUUUUUGCUGCCUUUUGAAAAAUUAAUCACGCAUUAAAUUAUAUCAACCAUCUCUUCCCUUCCUAUGAUAUCAUUAUAGACUUUUUGAAUGUAUGAUUGUAGAUGUACUACAACAAGGUUGGACCGUGGACAAUGCCUCUCGGAUGCUUACUGUGAAGAAGCAACCUGUUGCGUCAGUGCAGAAACUUGAUCCUCGCAAAUUGCAACAGCUGACAGAAUAUGUCUUCCAUCUUGAGCAUUGAAGAUUUUAAUCUUCUGAAGGAAUUAGAUGAAUGUUUUUCUAAAACUCUUCAAUCACGUGAUCCACCUUUCGAAGGUGUAUGAAAGUGCAUAUAUUCUAUUGAUAGUUUUGGAAACAAGGCAUAAUCUUUCCUGUGUUUUAACUUGAGCUCUGAUUAGAUGAAUUUUGCAUGGCACUUCUGGUAGUUAUUGAACAUGCCGUUCUCUUGUAUGAUAGCGAAAAGUAAAGAAUUUUUCCGAUUAAACCUGCUUUUGAGAAAUCCAGUUACUCUGUAUAUUCUUUAGUAUGUGAAUAUUUUUUCAUGGUAUUAUUAUGUUAUUUGCAGGGCUGAUAGUUUAUACAUAUUUUCA
This 24587-nucleotide long non-coding RNA is filed under the name Medicago truncatula (barrel medic). RNAcentral's name for it is "long non-coding RNA (MTRU_LNC007272)". The record is from RNAcentral. Lineage: Eukaryota; Viridiplantae; Streptophyta; Magnoliopsida; Fabales; Fabaceae.